AACGAACGCUGGCGGCAGGCCUAACACAUGCAAGUCGAACGCCCCGCAAGGGGAGUGGCAGACGGGUGAGUAACGCGUGGGAACCUACCUUUCGGUGCGGAAUAACUUCGGGAAACCAAGGCUAAUACCGCAUACGCCCUACGGGGGAAAGAUUUAUCGCCGAUAGAUGGGCCCGCGUCGGAUUAGCUAGUUGGUGAGGUAAUGGCUCACCAAGGCUACGAUCCGUAGCUGGUCUGAGAGGAUGAUCAGCCACACUGGGACUGAGACACGGCCCAGACUCCUACGGGAGGCAGCAGUGGGGAAUAUUGGACAAUGGGCGCAAGCCUGAUCCAGCCAUGCCGCGUGAGUGAAGAGGGCCUUAGGGUUGUAAAGCUCUUUUAGUGGGGACGAUAAUGACGGUACCCACAGAAUAAGCCCCGGCUAACUUCGUGCCAGCCGCCGCCGUAA
This 447-nucleotide ribosomal RNA is filed under the name uncultured bacterium. RNAcentral describes it as "partial 16S ribosomal RNA". It matches the Rfam family "Bacterial small subunit ribosomal RNA", at positions 29 to 523 of the family's 1533-position model. The record is from RNAcentral.